This 421-nucleotide ribosomal RNA is filed under the name Brevundimonas sp. VA18-4. RNAcentral's name for it is "bacterial SSU rRNA". It matches the Rfam family "Bacterial small subunit ribosomal RNA", at positions 1 to 457 of the family's 1533-position model. The record is from RNAcentral. Lineage: Bacteria; Pseudomonadati; Pseudomonadota; Alphaproteobacteria; Caulobacterales; Caulobacteraceae.
AAGAGUUUGAUCAUGGCUCAGAGCGAACGCUGGCGGCAGGCCUAACACAUGCAAGUCGAACGGACCCUUCGGGGUUAGUGGCGGACGGGUGAGUAACACGUGGGAACGUGCCUUUAGGUUCGGAAUAGCUCCUGGAAACGGGUGGUAAUGCCGAAUGUGCCCUUCGGGGGAAAGAUUUAUCGCCUUUAGAGCGGCCCGCGUCUGAUUAGCUAGUUGGUGAGGUAAUGGCUCACCAAGGCGACGAUCAGUAGCUGGUCUGAGAGGAUGACCAGCCACAUUGGGACUGAGACACGGCCCAAACUCCUACGGGAGGCAGCAGUGGGGAAUCUUGCGCAAUGGGCGAAAGCCUGACGCAGCCAUGCCGCGUGAAUGAUGAAGGUCUUAGGAUUGUAAAAUUCUUCACCGGGGACGAUAAGACGUA